UACGGAGGAUCCGAGCGUUAUCCGGAUUUAUUGGGUUUAAAGGGAGCGUAGGCGGGUUGUUAAGUCAGUUGUGAAAGUUUGCGGCUCAACCGUAAAAUUGCAGUUGAUACUGGCAUCCUUGAGUACAGUAGAGGUAGGCGGAAUUCGUGGUGUAGCGAUGAAAUGCUUAGAUAUCACGAAGAACUCCGAUUGCGAAGGCAGCCUGCUGGACUGUAACUGACGCUGAUGCUCGAAAGUGUGGGUAUCAAACAGG
This 253-nucleotide ribosomal RNA is filed under the name uncultured bacterium. Its description in RNAcentral is "partial 16S ribosomal RNA". It matches the Rfam family "Bacterial small subunit ribosomal RNA", at positions 524 to 776 of the family's 1533-position model. The record is from RNAcentral.